Molecule: ribosomal RNA, 1538 nt
Filed under: Escherichia coli
Lineage: Bacteria; Pseudomonadati; Pseudomonadota; Gammaproteobacteria; Enterobacterales; Enterobacteriaceae
Description: bacterial SSU rRNA
Rfam family: Bacterial small subunit ribosomal RNA
Source: RNAcentral
AAAUUGAAGAGUUUGAUCAUGGCUCAGAUUGAACGCUGGCGGCAGGCCUAACACAUGCAAGUCGAACGGUAACAGGAAGAAGCUUGCUUCUUUGCUGACGAGUGGCGGACGGGUGAGUAAUGUCUGGGAAACUGCCUGAUGGAGGGGGAUAACUACUGGAAACGGUAGCUAAUACCGCAUAACGUCGCAAGACCAAAGAGGGGGACCUUCGGGCCUCUUGCCAUCGGAUGUGCCCAGAUGGGAUUAGCUAGUAGGUGGGGUAACGGCUCACCUAGGCGACGAUCCCUAGCUGGUCUGAGAGGAUGACCAGCCACACUGGAACUGAGACACGGUCCAGACUCCUACGGGAGGCAGCAGUGGGGAAUAUUGCACAAUGGGCGCAAGCCUGAUGCAGCCAUGCCGCGUGUAUGAAGAAGGCCUUCGGGUUGUAAAGUACUUUCAGCGGGGAGGAAGGGAGUAAAGUUAAUACCUUUGCUCAUUGACGUUACCCGCAGAAGAAGCACCGGCUAACUCCGUGCCAGCAGCCGCGGUAAUACGGAGGGUGCAAGCGUUAAUCGGAAUUACUGGGCGUAAAGCGCACGCAGGCGGUUUGUUAAGUCAGAUGUGAAAUCCCCGGGCUCAACCUGGGAACUGCAUCUGAUACUGGCAAGCUUGAGUCUCGUAGAGGGGGUAGAAUUCCGGUGUAGCGGUGAAAUGCGUAGAGAUCUGGAGGAAUACCGGUGGCGAAGGCGGCCCCUGGACGAAGACUGACGCUCAGGUGCGAAAGCGUGGGGAGCAAACAGGAUUAGAUACCUGGUAGUCCACGCCGUAAACGAUGUCGACUUGGAGGUUGUGCCCUUGAGGCGUGGCUUCCGGAGCUAACGCGUUAAGUCGACCGCCUGGGGAGUACGGCCGCAAGGUUAAAACUCAAAUGAAUUGACGGGGGCCCGCACAAGCGGUGGAGCAUGUGGUUUAAUUCGAUGCAACGCGAAGAACCUUACCUGGUCUUGACAUCCACAGAACUUUCCAGAGAUGGAUUGGUGCCUUCGGGAACUGUGAGACAGGUGCUGCAUGGCUGUCGUCAGCUCGUGUUGUGAAAUGUUGGGUUAAGUCCCGCAACGAGCGCAACCCUUAUCCUUUGUUGCCAGCGGUCCGGCCGGGAACUCAAAGGAGACUGCCAGUGAUAAACUGGAGGAAGGUGGGGAUGACGUCAAGUCAUCAUGGCCCUUACGACCAGGGCUACACACGUGCUACAAUGGCGCAUACAAAGAGAAGCGACCUCGCGAGAGCAAGCGGACCUCAUAAAGUGCGUCGUAGUCCGGAUUGGAGUCUGCAACUCGACUCCAUGAAGUCGGAAUCGCUAGUAAUCGUGGAUCAGAAUGCCACGGUGAAUACGUUCCCGGGCCUUGUACACACCGCCCGUCACACCAUGGGAGUGGGUUGCAAAAGAAGUAGGUAGCUUAACCUUCGGGAGGGCGCUUACCACUUUGUGAUUCAUGACUGGGGUGAAGUCGUAACAAGGUAACCGUAGGGGAACCUGCGGUUGGAUCACCUCCUUA